Molecule: small RNA, 1369 nt
Filed under: Pan troglodytes (chimpanzee)
Lineage: Eukaryota; Metazoa; Chordata; Mammalia; Primates; Hominidae
Description: retained intron
Source: RNAcentral
ACUUGGUCCUUUUCAACGGUUUUCACAGAUCCAGUGACCCACGCUCUGAAGACAGAAUUAGCUAACUUUCAAAAACAUCUGGAAAAAUGAAGACUUGGGUAAAAAUCGUAUUUGGAGUUGCCACCUCUGCUGUGCUUGCCUUAUUGGUGAUGUGCAUUGUCUUACGCCCUUCAAGAGGACAAGAAUAUCUUCAUCAAUCUGCAGAUAACAAUAUAGUACUUUAUAAUAUUGAAACAGGACAAUCAUAUACCAUUUUGAGUAAUAGAACCAUGAAAAGUGUGAAUGCUUCAAAUUACGGCUUAUCACCUGAUCGGCAAUUUGUAUAUCUAGAAAGUGAUUAUUCAAAGCUUUGGAGAUACUCUUACACAGCAACAUAUUACAUCUAUGACCUUAGCAACGGAGAAUUUGUAAGAGGAAAUGAGCUUCCUCGUCCAAUUCAGUAUUUAUGCUGGUCGCCUGUUGGGAGUAAAUUAGCAUAUGUCUAUCAAAACAAUAUCUAUUUGAAACAAAGACCAGGAGAUCCACCUUUUCAAAUAACAUUUAAUGGAAGAGAAAAUAAAAUAUUUAAUGGAAUCCCAGACUGGGUUUAUGAAGAGGAAAUGCUUGCUACAAAAUAUGCUCUCUGGUGGUCUCCUAAUGGAAAAUUUUUGGCAUAUGCGGAAUUUAAUGAUACGGAUAUACCAGUUAUUGCCUAUUCCUAUUAUGGCGAUGAACAAUAUCCUAGAACAAUAAAUAUUCCAUACCCAAAGGCUGGAGCUAAGAAUCCCGUUGUUCGGAUAUUUAUUAUCGAUACCACUUACCCUGCGUAUGUAGGUCCCCAGGAAGUGCCUGUUCCAGCAAUGAUAGCCUCAAGUGAUUAUUAUUUCAGUUGGCUCACGUGGGUUACUGAUGAACGAGUAUGUUUGCAGUGGCUAAAAAGAGUCCAGAAUGUUUCGGUCCUGUCUAUAUGUGACUUCAGGGAAGACUGGCAGACAUGGGAUUGUCCAAAGACCCAGGAGCAUAUAGAAGAAAGCAGAACUGGAUGGGCUGGUGGAGUAUGAUUUUGCUAUCUUUUUCUUAUGUUUUAAUGAAACUUGACAGAUUCUCAGCUAUCAAAGGACUAUUUGCAAUGUACCCAAACUGGCACGACUUAUUUUCAUAGAAAAAAUAGCAAGGUAUAAAACACAUAAGUAGUGAUCUCUUGAGUGAUUUUGUGCCGGACAAUUUCAAUGUCCUUCUUUUUAGAAUUCUAUUGAAAAUAACUCAUACUCCUCAUGUCCCAAUUUUAAGUUUGUCAACUGAAUCCUUGGUAUCUAUAACUAAUACUACUUUUUAAACAAAUACAAUGUAGAUCAUUGUUCAAAAGGAGACAAAAUCACUGAUCUGUUAA